This 245-nucleotide long non-coding RNA is filed under the name Elaeis guineensis (African oil palm). Its description in RNAcentral is "long non-coding RNA (EGUI_LNC015913)". Lineage: Eukaryota; Viridiplantae; Streptophyta; Magnoliopsida; Arecales; Arecaceae. The record is from RNAcentral.
UCCCAUAAGAGGACUAGUACCGUAUGAAAUAAUUUUGUAAGAGUUAUAGUAGAUAAAGUUUUAAAAGCAAAAUAUAAAAAAUAUGUCAAAUUGUAUAGUUAUGCUAGUAACAGGGGAACUGACUAUUUGAAGAGACAUCAAGAGAGCCAUAUUAUGAGUGAUGCUCGUCUUCAAAGCACCCUUAAUAUACAAGAGGAUAGUCUUAUAGAUAGUUUUGCAUAUAAUCAUAAAAAUCAAAGGAAAGC